GACGAACGCUGGCGGCGUGCUUAACACAUGCAAGUCGAACGGAAAGGCCCUGCUUUUGUGGGGUGCUCGAGUGGCGAACGGGUGAGUAACACGUGAGUAACCUGCCCUUGACUUUGGGAUAACUUCAGGAAACUGGGGCUAAUACCGGAGAGGAGCUCCUGCUGCAUGGGGGGGGUUGGAAAGUUUCGGCGGUUGGGGAUGGACUCGCGGCUUAUCAGCUUGUUGGUGGGGUAGUGGCUUACCAAGGCUUUGACGGGUAGCCGGCCUGAGAGGGUGACCGGCCACAUUGGGACUGCGGUACGGCCCAGACUCCUACGGGAGGCAGCAGUGGGGAAUAUUGCACAAUGGGCGGAAGCCUGAUGCAGCAACGCCGCGUGCGGGAUGACGGCCUUCGGGUUGUAAACCGCUUUCGCCUGUGACGAAGCGUGAGUGACGGUAAUGGGUAAAGAAGCACCGGCUAACUACGUG
RNAcentral lists this ribosomal RNA (468 nucleotides) under uncultured bacterium. RNAcentral describes it as "partial 16S ribosomal RNA". It matches the Rfam family "Bacterial small subunit ribosomal RNA", at positions 28 to 507 of the family's 1533-position model. The record is from RNAcentral.